This is a long non-coding RNA of Xiphophorus couchianus (Monterrey platyfish), 1228 nucleotides long. RefSeq lists it as uncharacterized. NCBI's taxonomy places the organism in Eukaryota, Metazoa, Chordata, Actinopteri, Cyprinodontiformes, Poeciliidae. The record is from RefSeq and is a predicted model, not a curated record. The transcript has 2 exons.
UGCCAUCUAAAGUGAGGCCAUUGGGAAAGUGUUGGGAGCAAAACAGAAACAAAGGUGGUGUGUAAAAAAAGAAAAAAAGGGGGAGAGUGAGAAAGGGAGUGCAAUUAAAAUUGAUAAAAAGACUUGCAUGUGUUAAAACACAUGAUGAAAUGUUUAAUGUUUUGUCUAACUAGAAACAUUUUAAUAAUGUGACUAAACACUGCAGUGGUUUGGGAGGCUCAAAUGUAAGAAUCUAAUAUUAUACAGAAAAUCCAUGUUAGAGGAAUGGAUGGAAAUGUGAUGGAAAGCAGGAUGUGAAUGCUGACUACACUGGGAUCUGCCACAAAGGCAGACUGAGCAUUGCUGCAGGAUACAUUACAAUAUCAACACAAAAACUUGUUCUUAUGAAGAAGUAUAUUUUUCUGAACAUUCAGUUUAAAAAAAAAAAAAGUCACAGAAGGCCUCAGUGUUAAUAAUAGCCUGGAGUUUAAGUAAACACAUAGAACAUUAAGAAUAUUUACAAAACAAAAUCAAAGAUAGAGAUGCACCAUUUGAAAGUGGCCCUGACCUCUGAGUGGCCAGGAAACAAAAUAAACAAUCAGAUGUUUUUUACGGACAGCGUAAAUCCCUGAGAGCUUCCAGGCUGUGGUAACAUCCCUCAGAGACAUUGACUCUGCCUCUAAUGUCAACAGUAAUGGCAAUAAUGAAGAGAAAAACCGCUGAAGAAAAAAAACAAGCAUUUUAUGGCCACUCUUCCUAUAUUACAAUUUCUAAAGAGAAAUCGGAAUUGCUGAAAAUCAGUGCCGGCCGGAAAAGGGUUUACUAAAACAUGUGACCGGAACAACAGUGUGUUAGGACCACUGCAGAUAGAAAUAGAGUAAUAGAGUACAUUUCCACCAAAAUACUCAGGAAUUUUUAGAUCAAUCUCAGAAAUUUUCUAGAAAAAAGGACAAGUUUCAGCUUGAAGAGUAAAAUGUUUGACUUUUGAAACUCAGAGAUUUCCAAAUUAUAUCUAGAAAAUACCUGAGGUUUUUUCUAGCAAAAGUACAACUUUUAAAACUGAGUUUUUUUGUGUGUGCAACAUUUCUGACAUUGUUCUAAAAAUUUCAGACUUUUUUUGGGCAGAAAUGUACUUUUCUUUGCUCUAGCUACAUUGACCCUAAUACACCACUAUAGAUAGCAUAUUAGCCAAAAAAAUCUGAAAAGUACAAAAAUUAUGUAAACUGCAACUGUUUUAAAAACAAGACAG